RNAcentral lists this ribosomal RNA (119 nucleotides) under Carassius auratus (goldfish). Lineage: Eukaryota; Metazoa; Chordata; Actinopteri; Cypriniformes; Cyprinidae. The record is from RNAcentral.
GCUUACGGCCAUACCAACCUGGCUAUGCCUGAUCUCGUCUGCUCUCGGAAGCUAAGCAGGUUUGGGCCUGGUUAGUACUUGGAUGGGAGACCGCCUGUGAAUACCAGGUGCUGUAAGCU